UCUAGAAACCUAACAAUCUACGACUAGGAAGUCACGAGUCUCUUCUCCUCUACCACUUCGUCUUCUUGCCGUGAGUUCUGAUCCAUCCAUCAAUACUCCACAAUCAAUUUCUUCUUUAUGGUUUCGUUUCAUCUCCCUCUUUUCCUCCUUUAUAUACUGCUCUCUUUCCUGUGUACAAAUCAAAACCUUAAAACGCUCAAACAUCGAUCCAUCUUCAAAGGAAUAAUUAGGGUUUUCUUCUCAGCUUCAAACAAAUCUCAAAGUGACCUUUUAGAUUUCUGAUAUGCAGUUUAUCUCCUUCAACCUCUACAUCUCCCCAUCUUUAAUCACUCUCUUCCUUGAUCGAUUUAUCCCUACUUAUAUAUUAGAACUGUGUUGAUCGAUUAUAUAACUCUUGGUUUAAUUAUCAAAUCUGUUUAAAUCUGCAGAAUUCUGUGAUCCAAGGCUUCAUCCUUGCCGGUCUUGCGAAUCACUAUUGUCCAUCACUGCAGAAUUCCAUAAUGCAACAGGAAGUCAGAGAAAUCUGGAUUUCUCUCCGGUGCAACAAAUGUGUAAAUCUCCAUGUCACCGGUGUUAUCAGGUUUCGGGCUGAACUUGCUGUGGAUGAUGGAAAAUAUAGCGCUAUGUUUGUAGUCUUUGAAAGGAGAUGACAAAGCUGACCAAGCUGACCAAGCAAGAAGCUGCUGUCCUUACGCUUGAGGAGAUACCAAACGGUGGAUAUGAGGAGCUACCAAGCUGCCUUGGAGAGCUUGCUGGGAAGGAGUUUUUUUUCAAAUUCGUGUCACACAUUUUUCACCGUAUCUUCACUGUAUGAUCAACUAUCACUGAAGAUCUCAUCAUUGACAAUCAAGCUGUGAAGGCCACCAACAAAUUGCUUCCACUCAGUUAAGGGGAAGGUGGAUUGUUAAGAGCAUCAUCCAGCGAGGCUGUUGUUGCGGCCAAGCUAGGCAUGGGUGGUGACAUAGCAACCCCACCAGGGAUUGAGGAAGUGGAGAAAACCCGCAAGCGCCACCGUGAGUAAAAAGACCGUGUUAAUUCAAUCAGCUUGUCAACCCCACUUUCAUUCCGCUGUUUUAAAAUGACUCUCCUCUGUUUCGCUACCUUGAAUCUUUGUUUUUGUUUUGAAUUUUCUGCAACUAUUUAUCAUUUUUUUUUGUCUUGAAGCGUUAAUGAAGAGAUUAUAAUAUA
Molecule: long non-coding RNA, 1188 nt
Organism: Brassica napus (rape)
Lineage: Eukaryota; Viridiplantae; Streptophyta; Magnoliopsida; Brassicales; Brassicaceae
Exons: 4
Source: RefSeq, a predicted model, not a curated record